Molecule: unclassified non-coding RNA, 352 nt
Filed under: soil metagenome
Description: partial contains 5.8S ribosomal RNA, internal transcribed spacer 2, and large subunit ribosomal RNA
Rfam family: 5.8S ribosomal RNA (bases 1-120)
Source: RNAcentral
GAUGAAGAACGCAGCGAAAUGCGAUAAGUAAUGUGAAUUGCAGAAUUCAGUGAAUCAUCGAAUCUUUGAACGCACAUUGCGCCCCCCGGUAUUCCGGCGGGCAUGCCUGUUCGAGCGUCAUUACAACCCUCAGGCCCCCGGGCCUGGCGUUGGGGAUCGGCGGAGCCCCCCGUGGGCACACGCCGUCCCCCAAAUGCAGUGGCGGUCCCGCCGCAGCUUCCAUCGCGUAGUAGCUAACACCUCGCGACUGGAGAGCGGCGCGGCCACGCCGUAAAACACCCAACUCUUCUGAAGUUGACCUCGAAUCAGGUAGGAAUACCCGCUGAACUUAAGCAUAUCAAUAAGCGGAGGA